Molecule: ribosomal RNA, 1304 nt
Filed under: Alkalihalobacillus sp. MEB130
Lineage: Bacteria; Bacillati; Bacillota; Bacilli; Caryophanales; Bacillaceae
Description: partial 23S ribosomal RNA
Rfam family: Bacterial large subunit ribosomal RNA
Source: RNAcentral
UAGUACCGAAGUUCCUGAUCCUACACUGCCUAGAAAAGCCUCUAGCGAGGUGAGAGGUGCCCGUACCGCAAACCGACACAGGUAGGCGAGAAGAGAAUUCUAAGACGCUCGGGAGAACUCUCGUUAAGGAACUCGGCAAAAUGACCCCGUAACUUCGGGAGAAGGGGUGCUCUAUUAGGGUGCAAGCCCGAGAGAGCCGCAGUGAAAAGAUCCAAGCGACUGUUUAGCAAAAACACAGGUCUCUGCGAAGCCGUAAGGCGAAGUAUAGGGGCUGACACCUGCCCGGUGCUGGAAGGUUAAGAGGAGGGGUUAUCCCUUACGGGAGAAGCUCUGAAUUGAAGCCCCAGUAAACGGCGGCCGUAACUAUAACGGUCCUAAGGUAGCGAAAUUCCUUGUCGGGUAAGUUCCGACCCGCACGAAUGGUGUAACGAUUUGGAUACUGUCUCAACGAGAGACCCGGUGAAAUUAUAGUACCUGUGAAGAUGCAGGUUACCCGCGACAGGACGGAAAGACCCCAUGGAGCUUUACUGUAGCUUGAUAUUGGAUGUUGGUACAGUUUGUACAGGAUAGGUAGGAGCCUUGGAAGCGUGAGCGCCAGCUUACGUGGAGGCGUCGGUGGGAUACUACCCUGACUGUGCUGACAUUCUAACCUCGAGCCGUGAUCCGGUUCAGGGACAGUGUCAGGUGGGCAGUUUGACUGGGGCGGUCGCCUCCUAAACAGUAACGGAGGCGCCCAAAGGUUCCCUCAGAAUGGUUGGAAAUCAUUCGUAGAGUGCAAAGGCAAAAGGGAGCUUGACUGCGAGACCUACAAGUCGAGCAGGGACGAAAGUCGGGCUUAGUGAUCCGGUGGUUCCGCAUGGAAGGGCCAUCGCUCAACGGAUAAAAGCUACCCUGGGGAUAACAGGCUUAUCUCCCCCAAGAGUCCACAUCGACGGGGAGGUUUGGCACCUCGAUGUCGGCUCAUCGCAUCCUGGGGCUGAAGUAGGUCCCAAGGGUUGGGCUGUUCGCCCAUUAAAGCGGUACGCGAGCUGGGUUCAGAACGUCGUGAGACAGUUCGGUCCCUAUCCGUCGCGGGCGCAGGAAAUUUGAGAGGAGCUGUCCUUAGUACGAGAGGACCGGGAUGGACACACCGCUGGUGUACCAGUUGUUCCGCCAGGAGCAUAGCUGGGUAGCUACGUGUGGACGGGAUAAGUGCUGAAAGCAUCUAAGCAUGAAGCCCCCCUCAAGAUGAGAUUUCCCAUGGAGUUAAUCCAGUAAGACCCCUUAGAGAUGAUGAGGUUGAUAGGUCUGGUGUGGAAGCGUGG